AGCCAUAACAGCUAGUUUUCCACUUCCAAUGGCUCUAUUUCAUCUCUAUCGGCUAAAAGAAGCUUCCUACAUGUUCUUAAGGCUAUAAAUUCAUGGAAACACCAUCAAACAAGAAGUGAGAGAGCUCCACAAGAUCAAAUCUUUCAAGAACCUUAAAAGAGAGAGCAUAAUGCCAAAAUCCAUAAAAAGGGUCAAACAUAUGAACAAGAAGUGAGCUAUUCAAGUUAGGAUCAAUCAGAGCAUACACUAAGAGCCUCAAGAUCAUAUUCUCAACCUCAACAAAUUGGUGAAGAGCUUCAAAGAUCAACCACUUCACCAAUCCAAGUUUUGCUCUUUUUCAUUUGUGUUUUAUAUCUUGAG
Molecule: long non-coding RNA, 360 nt
Filed under: Phoenix dactylifera (date palm)
Lineage: Eukaryota; Viridiplantae; Streptophyta; Magnoliopsida; Arecales; Arecaceae
Description: long non-coding RNA (PDAC_LNC007188)
Source: RNAcentral